ACGCUCGACACCUACGGAGGCAGCAGUGGGGAAUAUUGCACAAUGGAGGAAACUCUGAUGCAGCGAUGCCGCGUGAGGGAAGAAGGUUUUCGGAUUGUAAACCUCUGUCUUUGGGGACGAUAAUGACGGUACCCAAGGAGGAAGCUCCGGCUAACUACGUGCCAGCAGCCCGGUAAUCUGAGCGGGCUGGCAAGGC
RNAcentral lists this ribosomal RNA (196 nucleotides) under uncultured bacterium. RNAcentral describes it as "partial 16S ribosomal RNA". It matches the Rfam family "Bacterial small subunit ribosomal RNA", at positions 328 to 539 of the family's 1533-position model. The record is from RNAcentral.